RNAcentral lists this ribosomal RNA (1398 nucleotides) under metagenome. Its description in RNAcentral is "SSU rRNA". It matches the Rfam family "Eukaryotic small subunit ribosomal RNA", at positions 482 to 1777 of the family's 1831-position model. The record is from RNAcentral.
AAUGCAGUGCCCGAACAGGGCGUUGUAAUUGGGAUGAGAACAAUUUAAAUCCCUUAUCGAUUAACAACUAGAGGGCAAGUCUGGUGCCAGCAGCCGCGGUAAUUCCAGCUCUAAUAGCGUAUAUUAAAGUUGUUGCAGUUAAAAAGCUCGUAGUUGGAUUUCGGCGUGCGCUCAGGCUGGUCGGCCGUCAAGGUCUGUACCGUUUGGGUCACGCCCCACUGUAGGAUACUCACCGCUGUCCUUAACUGGGUGGCGGUCAAAGGGGGUGUGCAUGGGGGCAACUCUGUGCAUAUCUCUGGGGUUCCUACUCUUUUACUUUGAGCAAAUUAGAGUGUUCAAAGCAGGCAAUCGAGCCUUGAAUACUUCAGCAUGGGAUAAUGGAACAGGACUGGGGUCCUGAUUUCGUUGGUUUCUGGGAUCUCAGUAAUGAUUAAUAGGGAUAGUCGGGGGCAUUAGUAUUUAAUUGUCAGAGGUGAAAUUCUUGGAUUUAUGAAAGACUAACUUCUGCGAAAGCAUUUGCCAAGGAUGUUUUCAUUAAUCAAGAACGAAAGUUAGGGGAUCGAAGACGAUCAGAUACCGUCGUAGUCUUAACCAUAAACGAUGCCGACCAGCGAUUGGGAGACGUUACAUGGAUGACUCCCCCAGCAGCUUGCGAGAAAUCACAAGUCUUUGGGUUCCGGGGGGAGUAUGGUCGCAAGGCUGAAACUUAAAGGAAUUGACGGAAGGGCACCACCAGGAGUGGAGCCUGCGGCUUAAUUUGACCCAACACGGGGAAACUUACCAGGUCCAGACAUAGUAAGGAUUGACAGAUUUGAGAGCUCUUUCUUGAUUCUAUGGGCGGUGGUGCAUGGCCGUUCUUAGUUGGUGGAGUGAUUUGUCUGGUUAAUUCCGUUAACGAACGAGACCUUAACCUGCUAAAUAUGUCACUGGUAGACUUCUGCCAAAACAGGUGGGUGUCUAGGGGAAAGUUUCGAUGGACUCCGACGCAUUCAUCUGUGGAUGACUACCAGGAUGUACUUCUUAGAGGGACUAUCUGUAUCAAAGCAGAUGGAAGUUUGAGGCAAUAACAGGUCUGUGAUGCCCUUAGAUGUUCUGGGCCGCACGCGCGCUACACUGACAAGUUCAACGAGUUUAACACCUUGCUCGAUAGGGCCGGGUAAUCUUUGAAAAACUUGUCGUGAUGGGGAUAGAUCAUUGUAAUUAUUGGUCUUCAACGAGGAAUUCCUAGUAAGCGUGAGUCAUCAGCUCGCGUUGAUUACGUCCCUGCCCUUUGUACACACCGCCCGUCGCUCCUACCGAUUGAAUGAUCCGGUGAAAUGUUGGGAGCUGGGGUCUUUUGGCGGCGGGGCAACUCGUCGUCAGGGAUUCUGCAAACUUCAUUAAACCUUAUCAUUUAGA